UAAAUUGUAAACUGCAGUAAAAC
RNAcentral lists this non-coding RNA (23 nucleotides) under Cricetulus griseus (Chinese hamster). Lineage: Eukaryota; Metazoa; Chordata; Mammalia; Rodentia; Cricetidae. The record is from RNAcentral.